GUCCAGGGGCGGGAAUCGAACCCACAACCUUCUGCUUACAGGGCAGAUGCCAUGUCCACUAGGCUACCCUGGA
This 73-nucleotide transfer RNA is filed under the name Cordylochernes scorpioides. Its description in RNAcentral is "tRNA-Thr". Lineage: Eukaryota; Metazoa; Arthropoda; Arachnida; Pseudoscorpiones; Chernetidae. The record is from RNAcentral.